RNAcentral lists this unclassified non-coding RNA (328 nucleotides) under soil metagenome. RNAcentral's name for it is "partial contains 5.8S ribosomal RNA, internal transcribed spacer 2, and large subunit ribosomal RNA". The stretch from base 1 to 119 matches the Rfam family "5.8S ribosomal RNA", at positions 35 to 154 of the family's 154-position model. The record is from RNAcentral.
GAUGAAGACGUAGCGAAAUGCGAUAAGUAAUGUGAAUUGCAGAAUUCAGUGAAUCAUCGAAUCUUUGAACGCACAUUGCGCCCCCUGGUAUUCCGGGGGGCAUGCCUGUCCGAGCGUCAUUACAACCCUCAAGCUCAGCUUGGUAUUGGGCCCCGCCGACCCGGCGGGCCCUAAAGUCAGUGGCGGUGCCGUCCGGCUCCGAGCGUAGUAAUUCUUCUCGCUCUGGAGGUCCGGUCGUGUGCUCGCCAGCAACCCCCAAUUUUUUUCAGGUUGACCUCGGAUCAGGUAGGGAUACCCGCUGAACUUAAGCAUAUCAAUAAGCGGAGGA